This 496-nucleotide ribosomal RNA is filed under the name uncultured bacterium. RNAcentral describes it as "partial 16S ribosomal RNA". It matches the Rfam family "Bacterial small subunit ribosomal RNA", at positions 28 to 506 of the family's 1533-position model. The record is from RNAcentral.
GAUGAACGCUGGCGGCGUGCCUAAUACAUGCAAGUCGAGCGAACAGACGAGGAGCUUGCUCCUCUGACGUUAGCGGCGGACGGGUGAGUAACACGUGGAUAACCUACCUAUAAGACUGGGAUAACUUCGGGAAACCGGAGCUAAUACCGGAUAAUAUAUUGAACCGCAUGGUUCAAUAGUGAAAGACGGUUUUGCUGUCACUUAUAGAUGGAUCCGCGCCGCAUUAGCUAGUUGGUAAGGUAACGGCUUACCAAGGCAACGAUGCGUAGCCGACCUGAGAGGGUGAUCGGCCACACUGGAACUGAGACACGGUCCAGACUCCUACGGGAGGCAGCAGUAGGGAAUCUUCCGCAAUGGGCGAAAGCUUGACGGAGCAACGCCGCGUGAGUGAUGAAGGUCUUCGGUUCGUAAAACUCUGUUAUUAGGGAAGAACAAAUGUGUAAGUAACUAUGCACGUCUUGACGGUACCUAAUCAGAAAGCCACGGCUAACUACGU